GCAAAGUUAUGACAACCAUAAACUACAGUGAAUGGAAAAUGUAAAUGACCAUGUGCCAUACGUUUAAGAAAAUUCAAUCUGGAGUGAAGCUGCAGGCUUAGAAGCUUCCGCAUGAAAAUGAACUGCAAACGUCAUACUAGAUAAAAUUAAAGAGACCUCUUGCAAAAUUCUACAUUCCACCUCAGCAGCGUUAACUCCAUCAUGAACACAUCAAGAAUACAGAUUUGGAGGGGGAUAUAUUCGAGUUGUACUGAUUUAUUUUCUUGGAAGAUGAGGCUUGAUUGAUUCUACAACCACCCUUCCAUCAUAUGACAAUGAUGCAAAUAUCCAUGGCUCUCGACAGCUCCAAGCAAGUCCAUACACACUGUCUUCGUAGUCACUAUAUGAAUUAAGCAAUGGAUCCACUGGCUUAUUAGGGGAGUCAAAGCUCUCUGGAGUUGGUUCGUCACUACUAGGAAGAGAAGCCAGCCACAGAUUGACCGCAGAAUCAGUUCCAGCACUCAGAAUUAAGUCUUCAUGUUCGGGAUUGCACUUGACAGUCCAUGUCCAGUGAGUAUGUCCAGGGAGAUCAAGGACUGGAAACUUCAGCAUUCUAAGAUCCCAUAUAUGUAUCCCAGAUUCAUCUUCAGCCGUUACAAGAGUAUACUCUCUCUUCACAUUGUAAUCCAAAUUACGGACAUGGGGAUGAUCGAUUGAAUUUGUUUUCUUCAUUGUCCGUAGAUCCCAAAGUUGGACUGAUGAUUCACUUGUCAGUGCCAGAGCAUUAUAAUCAUGGGGAUCCCAGGCGCCCCCAGUUAACGAAUGUAGCACACCUGCUGAUUCUUGUGAUUGUACCUGUGCAUUCUUCUUUGAAGUAUCAAAGCUCCAGAGGAAAAGAUUCUGUUCAUCAAUGCUAACCAACUUGUCAUGCCUUCCUGUUGGCCACCAAAGUGUGCACUUUAUCUUCGAAUUAUGAGCAUCAAGAGAUGCAAUCCUCUCUAGUUGUGGAGAAUUCGAUUGGCCAUACAACUCAGGGAUCUGCCAUAUUGCUGCCCCAUAUGUUUCACCGGAAGAAAAAACAGUAGAGAAAAUCCGUUGAUCGAAGGGGCACGACGCAAGGUCCCAGAUCUCAUUAGGAUGAGAAAAAAGACCUUCGCAUAGCAAUUCAGUGCCAGCGGAAGAAAUCCGGAUCAAAU
RNAcentral lists this unclassified non-coding RNA (1175 nucleotides) under Hevea brasiliensis (rubber tree). The record is from RNAcentral. Lineage: Eukaryota; Viridiplantae; Streptophyta; Magnoliopsida; Malpighiales; Euphorbiaceae.